GUGCUUCAGGAUGCCAUAGUUUUUUGUUUAAAUGGUUCCAAAAAGAACAUUUAACAUCUGAAGAACCUUUCUGUUUAAAAAAAAAAAAGUUAUUUGUGGCGAAAGAAGGUUGUCCAGAUCAUAAAAAGUCCUCUAGAUUGGGUAAACCAUGGGUAAGAAAGUCUUGCAGUGUUUUCCUUGGUACAAACGCUGUAAAGACCUGGGUAAAAGCAGGCUGUGCCCUCCUCCACCUGUGCCAUCUGUUGAGGUGCAACCUGGCUUCUCUCCGACAGUCUCCUGGGGUUACGACGGAGAGGAAAGCGCCACACGUCCUGUCUAUUUUUCCCAUAAAGCACGAGUAGUUUAUCGCCACCAGAUGGAAGGCAAUAUUAUUGACGCCACCUGCUGACCUCUGGGCUUCUUUCCCAGAAUCUCUUGCCUUGUACCUGGCUGUAGACGUCCAGUGUAGAGGAGCGUUGUAGGAGCCUGUUCCAUCAUGUGUAAUCAAACUAAAUAUUUUGUAUUUAGUAAAGAUGUCACAGUGUUUCCUCUGGUUGCUCCACCCUCUUGCCAGACCAUUCACCUGUCUUGUUCUUACUGUGUUGAAAUAUAAUAUAAUGUUUCAAGGGAGACAGAGUGUGCAGGCCACAUGGAAUGGAAAAACAGGAACUGAGCUGGAUUUUUUAAAUACAAAUGUAAUGUAUAUGUGUUUUGUCGCGCAAAUCUGAUCCUGGAUGUAUGAUUGCCUGUUGUUUUUCAGACGACAAACCACAGUUGGUUUUUCAGAGGUUUAUGAAUGCAUUUCAGACAAAAGAAAACAUUUUGUACUAAUGACUGGAAUUAUAAUAUAAAAUGUAUGUACAUUUAGUAAUUAUCGUGAUAUAUUUUGAGUAUAAAAAGUAGUUUGAGUAUUGAAUAAAAUUGUUUAAAUAUAUAAACAUGUUUAUUUUUAAUAUUUGUCUCAUUUAAAUGUGAUGAAAUGUGUGUAAUUGUCAUACAAAACAAUUCCCUAUUUGUACAAAAAGGCUUUAUUUUCUUUGUGCAAAAUAUAAAUUCUUAUUUAUUUUGGCUUGGGAGCAAAAUAUGAACUAGACAUGUUAUUGACAGACUUCCCCACUAUUUAAUUUUCAGUUUGAGGGUGUUUUGCUACAUAAAUAGAUAUGCAAAGGACUAAAUCAGCCAUAUAAUUCAACUUUAAGACUAAUUAGGGCAAAAUAAAAGGCAGCUAUGGUGUACCCAUCUAUAAUAUGUCAUGUAAAAUAGCAAGUUUGAUAACAUACGAAAAUCUCACCAAACAAAAUCAUCUGUUUUUAUAUUGUACUAAUGAAAUUAUUAAAUUAUAUUAUCUGGAACAUGUUUAAUUUGUAUAACAUAUUUUUUUCUACCC
This 1366-nucleotide long non-coding RNA is filed under the name Sinocyclocheilus grahami. RNAcentral describes it as "lncRNA (ENSSGRG00000048011.1)". The record is from RNAcentral. Lineage: Eukaryota; Metazoa; Chordata; Actinopteri; Cypriniformes; Cyprinidae.